RNAcentral lists this ribosomal RNA (523 nucleotides) under uncultured bacterium. Its description in RNAcentral is "bacterial SSU rRNA". It matches the Rfam family "Bacterial small subunit ribosomal RNA", at positions 777 to 1314 of the family's 1533-position model. The record is from RNAcentral.
AAUAGAUACCCUGGUAGUCCACGUCGUAAACGAUGAGUACUAGUUGUCGGGGGUAUCGACCCCCUCGGUAACGAAGCUAACGCGAUAAGUACUCCGCCUGGGGACUACGGCCGCAAGGCUAAAACUCAAAGGAAUUGACAGGGGCCCGCACAAGCAGCGGAGCGUGCGGUUUAAUUCGAAGCGACGCGAAGAACCUUACCAGGGCUUGACAUGUUGAGGACCGCCGGUGAAAGUCGGCUUCCCUUCGGGGCCUCAUCACAGAUGCUGCAUGGUCGUCGUCAGCUCGUGCCGUGAGGUGUUGGGUUAAGUCCCGCAACGAGCGCAACCCCUGUCGCCAGUUGUACUUCUCUGGCGAGACUGCCCGGAGCAACCGGGAGGAAGGCGGGGAUGAUGUCAGAUCAGCAUGGCUCUUACGUCCUGGGCCACUCGCACGCUACAAUGGGCAGUACAGACCGUUGCGAAACCGUGAGGUGAAGCUAAUCGGAUAAAGCUGUCCUCAGUUCGGAUUGCAGGCUGCAACCCG